UGGCCUAGCACACGACCCUACGCUGGGGCGUUUAGCGUAUUAACAGGUGUGACGCAGGAAGGUAGCUGAGCCGGGCGAUGGUUGUCCCGGUCUAAGGAUGUAGGGCAGAAGAUAGGCAAAUCCGUCUUCUAUGUAGCCUGAGACCCGAUGGGUAGUCCUCACGGACGAAAUCAGUGAUCCUAUGCUGCCGAGAAAAGCAUCGACGCGAGGUUCCAAUCGCCCGUACCCCAAACCGACUCAGGUGGUCAGGUAGAGAAUACUAAGGAGAUCGAGAGAAUCGUGGUUAAGGAACUCGGCAAAAUGCCCCCGUAACUUCGGGAGAAGGGGGGCCUGAGGCGUGUAGGGAUUUACUCCUGAAGCGUUUGAAGGCCGCAGAGACCAGUGGGAAGCGACUGUUUACUAAAAACACAGGUCCGUGCUAAGUCGCAAGACGAUGUAUACGGACUGACGCCUGCCCGGUGCUGGAAGGUUAAGAGGAACGGUUAGCACGCAAGUGCGAAGCUGAGAAUUUAAGCCCCAGUAAACGGCGGUGGUAACUAUAACCAUCCUAAGGUAGCGAAAUUCCUUGUCGGGUAAGUUCCGACCUGCACGAAUGGCGUAACGACUUCCCAGCUGUCUCAACCGCGAACUCGGCGAAAUUGCACUACGAGUAAAGAUGCUCGUUACGCGCAGCAGGACGGAAAGACCCCGUGACCUUUACUACAGCUUGGUAUUGGUGUUCGGUGUGGCUUGUGUAGGAUAGGUGGGAGACUGUGAAGCUCGGACGCUAGUUCGGGUGGAGUCAUUGUUGAAAUACCACUCUGGUCACUCUGGAUAUCUAACUUCGAACCGUAAUCCGGUUCAGGGACAGUGCCUGGUGGGUAGUUUAACUGGGGCGGUUGCCUCCUAAAGAGUAACGGAGGCGCCCAAAGGUUCCCUCAACCUGGUUGGUAAUCAGGUGUCGAGUGUAAGUGCACAAGGGAGCUUGACUGUGAGACUGACAAGUCGAGCAGGGACGAAAGUCGGGACUAGUGAUCCGGCAGUGGCUUGUGGAAGCGCUGUCGCUCAACGGAUAAAAGGUACCUCGGGGAUAACAGGCUGAUCUUGCCCAAGAGUCCAUAUCGACGGCAUGGUUUGGCACCUCGAUGUCGGCUCGUCGCAUCCUGGGGCUGGAGUAGGUCCCAAGGGUUGGGCUGUUCGCCCAUUAAAGCGGUACGCGAGCUGGGUUUAGAACGUCGUGAGACAGUUCGGUCCCUAUCCGCUG
RNAcentral lists this ribosomal RNA (1243 nucleotides) under Clavibacter michiganensis subsp. michiganensis. RNAcentral's name for it is "partial 23S ribosomal RNA". It matches the Rfam family "Bacterial large subunit ribosomal RNA", at positions 1419 to 2647 of the family's 2925-position model. The record is from RNAcentral. Lineage: Bacteria; Bacillati; Actinomycetota; Actinomycetes; Micrococcales; Microbacteriaceae.